CAAAUUAGAGCUUGAAUAAGUGUUUUAUUUACAUUAAAAAAAUGAUUGUUAAAAUCAAUUUAAUUUGA
RNAcentral lists this transfer RNA (68 nucleotides) under Platisus angusticollis. RNAcentral's name for it is "tRNA-Val". Lineage: Eukaryota; Metazoa; Arthropoda; Insecta; Coleoptera; Cucujidae. The record is from RNAcentral.